Molecule: transfer RNA, 69 nt
Filed under: Proagoderus bicallossus
Lineage: Eukaryota; Metazoa; Arthropoda; Insecta; Coleoptera; Scarabaeidae
Description: tRNA-Met
Source: RNAcentral
GAAAAAAUAAGUUAAUAAAACUAUUGGGUUCAUACCCCAACCAUAGAGAUUACAAUUCUCUUUUUUUCA